CCUACGGGUGGCUGCAGUGGGGAAUAUUGGACAAUGGGGGCAACCCUGAUCCAGCCAUGCCGCGUGUGUGAAGAAGGCCCUCGGGUUGUAAAGCACUUUCAGUGAGGAAGAACGCCUGGUGGUUAAUACCCAUCAGGAAAGACAUCACUCACAGAAGAAGCACCGGCUAACUCCGUGCCAGCAGCCGCGGUAAUACGGAGGGUGCGAGCGUUAAUCGGAAUUACUGGGCGUAAAGCGCGCGUAGGUGGCUUGAUAAGCCGGUUGUGAAAGCCCCGGGCUCAACCUGGGAACGGCAUCCGGAACUGUCAAGCUAGAGGGCAGGAGAGGAAGGUAGAAUUCCCGGUGUAGCGGUGAAAUGCGUAGAGAUCGGGAGGAAUACCAGUGGCGAAGGCGGCCUUCUGGACUGACACUGACACUGAGGUGCGAAAGCGUGGGUAGCAAACAGGAUUAGAUACCCGAGUAGUC
RNAcentral lists this ribosomal RNA (465 nucleotides) under Vreelandella stevensii. RNAcentral describes it as "partial 16S ribosomal RNA". It matches the Rfam family "Bacterial small subunit ribosomal RNA", at positions 338 to 795 of the family's 1533-position model. The record is from RNAcentral. Lineage: Bacteria; Pseudomonadati; Pseudomonadota; Gammaproteobacteria; Oceanospirillales; Halomonadaceae.